This 1140-nucleotide ribosomal RNA is filed under the name uncultured bacterium. RNAcentral's name for it is "bacterial SSU rRNA". It matches the Rfam family "Bacterial small subunit ribosomal RNA", at positions 99 to 1241 of the family's 1533-position model. The record is from RNAcentral.
CGGACGGGUGAGUAAUGCAUCGGAACGUGCCCAGGAGUGGGGGAUAACGUAGCGAAAGUUACGCUAAUACCGCAUACGUACUGAGAUAGAAAGCGGGGGAUCGAAAGACCUCGCGCUCAUGGAGCGGCCGAUGUCGGAUUAGCUAGUUGGUGGGGUAAAAGCUCACCAAGGCGACGAUCCGUAGCUGGUCUGAGAGGACGACCAGCCACACUGGGACUGAGACACGGCCCAGACUCCUACGGGAGGCAGCAGUGGGGAAUCUUGGACAAUGGGGGAAACCCUGAUCCAGCAAUGCCGCGUGUGGGAUGAAGGCCCUCGGGUUGUAAACCACUUUUGGCAGGAAAGAAAUCGCCUGUGCUAAUACCAUGGGCGGAUGACGGUACCUGCAGAAUAAGCACCGGCUAACUACGUGCCAGCAGCCGCGGUAAUACGUAGGGUGCGAGCGUUAAUCGGAAUUACUGGGCGUAAAGCGUGCGCAGGCGGUUUUGUAAGACAGAUGUGAAAUCCCCGGGCUUAACCUGGGAACUGCAUUUGUGACUGCAAGACUAGAGUGUGUCAGAGGGAGGUGGAAUUCCGCGUGUAGCAGUGAAAUGCGUAGAGAUGCGGAAGAACACCGAUGGCGAAGGCAGCCUCCUGGGAUAACACUGACGCUCAGGCACGAAAGCGUGGGGAGCAAGCAGGAUUAGAUACCCUGGUAGUCCACGCCCUAAACGAUGUCAACUAGUUGUUGGGGAUUCAUUUCCUUAGUAACGUAGCUAACGCGUGAAGUUGACCGCCUGGGGAGUACGGCCGCAAGGUUAAAACUCAAAGGAAUUGACGGGGACCCGCACAAGCGGUGGAUGAUGUGGAUUAAUUCGAUGCAACGCGAAAAACCUUACCUACCCUUGACAUGUCGAGAACUUUUCAGAGAUGAAUUGGUGCCCGAAAGGGAACUCGAACACAGGUGCUGCAUGGCUGUCGUCAGCUCGUGUCGUGAGAUGUUGGGUUAAGUCCCGCAACGAGCGCAACCCUUGUCCUUAGUUGCUACGCAAGAGCACUCUAAGGAUACUGCCGGUGACAAACCGGAGGAAGGUGGGGAUGACGUCAAGCCCUCAUGGCCCUUAUGGGUAGGGCUUCAGACGUCAUACAAUGGUCGGUACA